RNAcentral lists this long non-coding RNA (5229 nucleotides) under Heterocephalus glaber (naked mole-rat). Its description in RNAcentral is "lncRNA (ENSHGLG00100050155.1)". The record is from RNAcentral. Lineage: Eukaryota; Metazoa; Chordata; Mammalia; Rodentia; Bathyergidae.
UGGUGGGUGUUGGGGUGGGCUUGGCCACCACCUGAGUUUUCACUGUCUUCAGAGUCCCAGGUGGGGUGGAAGGUAACCCCGAGGUCCGAGUGUCCCUGGAGCAAGCUACGUUCUGUGCCCUGCUGGGGUGGUGUGUGGGUAACUUUCUGGUUCCUUCCUGCUUCCAUUCUGAGGGUGUGCAGAAUCCAGUCUACUUUCUUGUAGCUAGGAACGGCCAAGGCAUGUGGGGGACAGCUCAGGGAGGAGCAGCGCUCUCUGUCAGGCUGCAGACCCCACCUUGUUAGUCCUCUGCCCGAGUUUCCGCCUUGGCUGUAGCUUUAGAUGGUCCCUCAGUGUGGUGUCGUCCUGAGAACUUCCUCCUGGAGUCUUGGAGGGUCCCCUCUGACUCCGUUUCUAACAGGCCACUGGGGGUCAGGGCAGGACGGGGUGCUUGUGGGCUUUAGGGUGGUGACAGGGACAGGCAGAGGAGCUAGGGCUGGGCAGUCAGAGGCUUGGCCCUGGGUGAUGUCCAUGAGACAGGAAGCCAGCACCACUCCGCCAGGCAGGGGCCAGGCAGCAAGGUGGAUUCUUGGGAAGGGCAUCUUCUGAGUGCCCGGGAGCAGGCUGAGCCCCGAGGUGCAGCUCCGACAGGUGCAUGGCUCAGUCACUUCCCGGUGUUGUCAGACCUCACACGCCGUGUCUCCCGCCCUCCCUGCCAGGACUCGUCUCCAGAAGCCUCAGGUUUCCGUAAGCUGCAGGGGACUGAGGCCACAAGGGGGCUGGAGGGAAAGGGCCUGUGAGGCUGGCCCUUUGGACCAGUUCCUGGAGGGAGAGGAGGCUUUGUUACAAACCCUACUGGCCAGAGCAAGUGGGCUGGGGCACAAGGCGUGUACCCCUCAAUCCUCCUGCAGACCCUGGGCUUCGGCCCUCUUGCUGGGAGACCCUCCAGGGAAUAGGGUACCUGCUCCAUCUUCCCCUUCACAGCACUUACUGCUUUGAGCUGUAACUGUCCAUCUACACCCCACCCAUGGCCUCGAGUGUAGACCCCAUACCUCAUCCCCACAGUGGCCAGCACAUAGCAGGUGCUCAGUAAAUGCCUGCCGAUGGAUGAGUGAUUCUGCUGAAGACAAAGGGGUCUUCCCUCUUCACCGGGCCUCUCCCCGUCCCCACAGCCGGUGCAUGGGAGCGCACCUUUAUCGAGCCAGCCACUUUAAGGCUAAUCACAUUCAUUCAGAAUCACAUAGUUAAGUAAAAUUUACUUUGGGUGGGAUUAACUUGGCUCUCUGAGGGCAGCAUAAAGCACAGCAAUGCUCCAUUGCAAAGUCCCGUCCCGCCGUUGUAAAAGAGUUUGUCGUCCUUUUGUGGCGACUGUGCAGCGUUCCCGGAGGCACGCGAUGCUUACUUACUGAUCCACAGAUGACGGAUGGUAGAUCCCGCUUUGUCUGGAAGGGAAAACUCGAACAGCUUGUCUGCACCUCUCCACUCGGACAUUAAAUCAACAUGGCUCUAUUAGUGGCCUUGGGAUGCCAGCUGAGCUGUCUCCGAGCCUGUCACCGUGAUGUCUUCAUCUGUAACCAGAGCAGACGUGAGCUCCUGGCAGCUUCAGGAGGUGACAACAAAUCCAAUUAGCUCCUCUCCACGGCGCCGCAGGACUUCUGCGAAACGGCCUGCCGGGGAAGGCGGCUGGUACCCCGCGCAGUGGGACACGGCGGGUGCUGUUCUUGGGAAGGAGGGAGGGAGAGAGAGAGAGAGAGAGAGAGGGGAAGGGAGGGGAAACAAAGGACCAGGCGUAAUUGUUGGAGUGACUCUGUGCGAGUGGAGAGACCUAGUGCCAGAUCGGCCGCACCGGGCCAGCCCUGCUGGUUCUUGGACAGCAACGAGGCUGCCAGGAGCCCAGCUGAUGGCCAAUCCCUGCUUUGGAACCGUGCUUGACUUUGAUGGUGCUUAUCUUGGGGGACAAUCACAUGUCCCAUUCCCAUCCUCCUCUGCCCCCUUCCUGGCUUCCCUCUUUGUCCCUGAAACAGCACAAUGUCAAGACAGCCCCGGUUCACAGCCCCGGAGUCUGAGGGUUCACGGAAGUUUCCGGUUCUCCAGAGGAACACGACAUUAACAGUUUCUUGGGUCAUUUAUUUCCUAGUUUUGGGGCCCCCUUCGCCUGUGUCUCCCUGGUUCUUUGUGGAGCACGGAGAAGGGGAGCCGGAACAGGUUAGCAGGCCUGAGGAAUGCUGGUGGGUUUCAAGGAGUGGCAGGAGGGAUUCUGCAGCCCAGCCGGCGAGCCAGCGAGCCAGCAGGCCGAGUCAGUGGCUCGGCGUUGAUGGCCGGCAUUGCAGGGCUCCGCUGCCAGCUCGCCGGUGGAGCCGUCGCUUCCUGCCACACGCUGGUACCCUCUACCUGUAGGGGCUGGCAGCAGCAGGCCCUUGGGGUGAGUGAUGGGAAGAGGAGAAGGGGCGGCAAGGGGAAGGAGCAGGAAGCGGCUUUCGAUCCUUCUUUCGGAAGCAGGUUGCUGCGAAUGUACAUCAGCCUGGUCCAACUCAUCCCAGAUUAAUUGGGCAGGAUAUAGAGGCAUCUGGCUGCCAUGCAGAGCGAGCGAAGAUUCAGCGGGCGCUGCAUCCCCGGCUGGCUUUUGGAAGUGGCCCCAGUGCUGCCAGGCACAAUUAUUUUCAGCAAUGUCUUUCUGCUGCCGAAACUUAGGACUGCAGACUUUGGCACCCGAGCUAAGCGCCGAUUUGUAAGCUCACAAAUGGACACCAUCCUUGAUUCGAGAUGCUGUGUGGAGCCCAGUGGAGGCAGCAGGACUGCACCCUUGGCUACAUGGUGGCUGGGCAUGUUUGGAGGGAGCAUUUGUGUGUUGUGUGUGUGUGUGGCGGGGUAGGACGAGGCUGGGGUACCCAAGGGCCAGCUCACAAAGGGUCCUGUAGGUCCACUGCAGAGUAUGGAUUUGAGUCUGUGACAAUGAGGGGAUGGCACUCAUCCCCACCCCCCCAUCUCUCCAAAAAGCCUUGUCCGCAUGGGCGCGGUGGUGCAUGCCUGUAACCCCAGCACUCGGAGGCUGAGGCUGGCGAGUUUCUGCAAGUUCGAGGUCAACCUAGUCUACAUAGUAAGACCUUGUCUGGCCCCUGGAGACUGUCAGGUGGGCUCAGGUGGCCUGCAAUGCCGUUCACUACUUCUGUGUGUGAUCUGUGAAUAGAUCUGGCGAUUCAGUUUUUACUCGCUGCUCUGUGAGGCCUGGCGCCCCUGGGAGCACUGUUUCCCUCAUUGAUCCCCUGACACCCAGCACAGCGUAGACACAUUAGGUAUCAGGCUGCCUGCUGGACCCACCGCCAUGGAUGGGAGAAAUAUGACCGGACCACGCACCACUGUGCAGGGCAGUGGCUGAGAACAGGUGAGCCUGGAUGAAAGAAACUCCACGGGAUAAAAAUGGAGUGCUCCAGCCAGGCCGGGUGGCACAUGCCUACUAUCCCAGCACUCUGGGAGGCUGAGGCAGGAGGAUCACAAGUUCAAACCGAGCCUACUUAGCAAGACUUUGUCUCUAAAGAAAAAUGUCAUAAAAGGACUGGGAAUGCAGCUCCAUGUGAAGGGAUUGGGUUCAAUCUCAAGGACUGAGAAAAAAGUUCAGUGGUCCAGGUUGGAGAGGGUGAGGCUUGAGCUGCAGGGAGCCAAGGAAGGGCAGGAGGAGAUGCAGGUGAGUGGUGCACAGCCAGAGCAGCCGAGCUGCCGGCCUGGGACCCGAAGGGCUGAGCAGCAGGCAGCUGGGUCUGGGCACAGAGCGGUCCCGGGGGCCCUAAGUGUGAGCUUCCUCCCCACGCUCCUUCCAUCCUGCUGUGCGUGGGCCCCAGCGCUGCGGCCACGGAGCCCCCGGGGAACACAAGGAGCCAUGAAGCUGCAGCAGUGGGACCACAGGGCACAGGAGCGGUGUCUUGGAAAACGGGUUCACCCUGGGCGGAAGCUGUGGCACUCGGGUCCCUGGUGCCCCCCUGGCAGCGUGGCACCAGACACACAGAAGGUACCCAGAAGACACCGCUCGAGUUGGUAAAUGGAUGACUUAGCCACAGCACCCACGUGGGUAAUGGCAGCUGUAAGUGUAAACCACAGCCACUGCCAACUGUAUCCGGCAGUGAAGGCAACAGCCAGAACUUCCGGACAAAGGAGAUAAUUAAAGGAGAAACCAAAAUGGGCAAUGAUUUAGAAAGAGAGCACUGAGAGUCAGUGCUCAGUGUGUGGCCCCCUCAGGCUGCGGGUCCUGCCGGCAGCUUUCUAGGAACCCCCUUGCCAGUUCGCCCCUUUGUUUCCCGCCAUCCUGGCUCCCAUUUAUCAAGGGUCUCCUUUUAUUUGAAAUGGUUCUGUGUGGGUCGCAUCUCAAGUGCAUGCACUGGGCCAAGUUGUCCAUUUUUCUCUCUCCUCUGUUAGAGACGCAGUAGCGUCUUUGGUCCAGCCCAGCCCCUCCACGCCAUUACUCCUUUGUGGCACCAAAUCUCAUCUGACCGCGAGCCCUUCUGUUGCCCUUGACACCAUUAUAUCCUCAGACUGAGAAGGACAGUACCACACGGUAUCAUUCAGAUGUAGAAUCUUAAGAAGUUAGUCUUGCCAGACAUGGUGCUGCACGCCUGUAAUAUCAGCUACUCAGGAGGCUGAGGCAGGAGGAUUGCAAGUUUGAGCCCAGGCUGGGCAACCUAGUGAGACUCUCUAGUUCAGUGGUAGAGUGCUUGCUUAGCUUGUACGGGAUCAUAGAUUUGAGUCCUAGAAACACACAUGUACACACGCACACACACACACAACACGAGUUGGUCUCAGAAUAGACAGUAGAAGAGUGGGUAUGAGAGGCUGGGGAAAGGUUGGUCAAAGUGUACAAACUUACAAUGAGAUAGGAGGAACAAGUCCUGGUAUUCUAUUGUACAGUAAGGUGACUAUAGUUGGUAAUAAUUACUGUAUAUUUCACAAUAGCUAAAGGAGGAUUCUGAAUGUUUUCACUACAAAGAAAUGAUAAAUGUUUGAGGUGAUGGAUAUGUUCAUCACCUUGAUUUUAUUCUUAUACAACAUAUACAUGUAUCGAAGCAUUGUAUUGUACCCCAUAGAUCUCUCCAUCAAUUAUGUGUCCAUUAAAAAUAAUGUUAAAAACUUCCUCAAAAUCACACCACUCUAUACAUCUAGUUCUCAACUUGUGUUUUCCCAAUCGACAUAGCCAUUGGUUCAUCCAAGUUGCCACUAGAGAACCAGCUCGUUUAAUAAAUUGCUGUAUGGUUUUCCAACGCC